UACGGGGGGUGCGAGCGUUGUUCGGAAUUAUUGGGCGUAAAGCGCGCGCAGGCGGCCGUUUAAGUCUCACUGUGAAAGCCCGCGGCUCAGCCGCGGGAGGCCAGGGGAUACUGGGCGGCUGGAGACAGGUAGAGGCGAGCGGAAUUCCGGGUGUAGCGGUGGAAUGCGUAGAGAUCCGGAAGAACACCAGAGGCGAAGGCGGCUCGCUGGACCUGUUCCGACGCUGAGGCGCGUAAGCGUGGGGAGCGAACAGG
Molecule: unclassified non-coding RNA, 254 nt
Filed under: uncultured Gemmatimonadota bacterium
Lineage: Bacteria; Pseudomonadati; Gemmatimonadota
Description: uncultured Gemmatimonadetes bacterium contains 16S-23S intergenic spacer region
Rfam family: Bacterial small subunit ribosomal RNA
Source: RNAcentral